AUGACAUUCGGAGCGUCGUUCUACUGAGCAAUAUUGUCCGCUCCGUGGAAGAUCUUCUCUUUGUCAA
This 67-nucleotide microRNA precursor is filed under the name Bombyx mori (domestic silkworm). Its description in RNAcentral is "mir-2774 microRNA precursor family". It matches the Rfam family "mir-2774 microRNA precursor family". The record is from Rfam by way of RNAcentral. Lineage: Eukaryota; Metazoa; Arthropoda; Insecta; Lepidoptera; Bombycidae.